Molecule: ribosomal RNA, 497 nt
Filed under: uncultured bacterium
Lineage: Bacteria
Description: partial 16S ribosomal RNA
Rfam family: Bacterial small subunit ribosomal RNA
Source: RNAcentral
GAUGAACGCUGGCGGCGUGCCUAAUACAUGCAAGUAGAGCGAACGGAGGAGAAGCUUGCUUCUCGGAUGUUAGCGGCGGACGGGAGAGUAACACGGGGAUAACGUACCUAUAAGACGGGGAUAACUUCGGGAAACCGGAGCUAAUACCGGAUAAUAUUAUGAACCGCAAGGUUCAAUAGUAAAAUACGGUCUUGCUGUCACUUAUAGAUGGAUCCGCGCUGCAUUAGCUAGUUGGUAAGGUAACGGCUUACCAAGACAACUAUGCAUAGCCGCCCUGAGGGGGUGACCGGCCACACUGGACCUGAGCCACGGUCCAGACUCCUACGGGAGGCAGCAGUGGGGAAUCUUCCGCAAUGGGCGAAAGCCUGACGGAGCAACGCCGCGUGAGUGAUGAAGUUCUUCGGAUCGUAAAACUCUGUUAUUAGGGAGGAACAUAUUUGUAAGUAACUGUGCACAUCUUGACGGUACCUUAUCAGAAAGCCACGGCUAACUACGUG